AACGAACGCUGGCGGCAUGCCUAACACAUGCAAGUCGAACGAGACCUUCGGGUCUAGUGGCGCACGGGUGCGUAACGCGUGGGAACCUGCCCUUAGGUUCGGAAUAACUCCCCGAAAGGGGUGCUAAUACCGGAUAAUGUCUUCGGACCAAAGAUUUAUCGCCUUUGGAUGGGCCCGCGUUGGAUUAGCUAGUUGGUAGGGUAAAAGCCUACCAAGGCGACGAUCCAUAGCUGGUCUGAGAGGAUGAUCAGCCACACUGGGACUGAGACACGGCCCAGACUCCUGCGGGGGGCAGCAGGGGGGAAUAUGGGACAAGGGGCGAAAGCCGACUCCAGCAAGGCCGGGUGGGUGAUGAGGGCCUGAGGGUUGUAAACCUCUUUAACCCGGGAUGAUAAUGAAGGAACGGGGAGAAAAAGCCCCGGCUAACUCCGU
RNAcentral lists this ribosomal RNA (432 nucleotides) under uncultured bacterium. RNAcentral's name for it is "partial 16S ribosomal RNA". It matches the Rfam family "Bacterial small subunit ribosomal RNA", at positions 29 to 506 of the family's 1533-position model. The record is from RNAcentral.